Molecule: ribosomal RNA, 498 nt
Filed under: Triticum aestivum (bread wheat)
Lineage: Eukaryota; Viridiplantae; Streptophyta; Magnoliopsida; Poales; Poaceae
Description: partial small subunit ribosomal RNA
Source: RNAcentral
AUGGAAGGGGGCAGCCUCUGGCACGAGUACGAGACGGACCUCCGGGCCGCCGACGUGUGGGAGGUCUAUGGCAGCCUCGCUCUCGGGCAACUAGCCCCCCAGCUGCUCCCGCACGUCCUCUCAAAGGUCGAGCUUGUAGAGGGAGACGGCGGCGUCGGCACAGUCCUGCUCGUCACUUUCCCUCCUGCAGGAGCUUCCGAACCAAGAAGCCACAAGGAGAAGUUCAACGUAGUCGACCAUGAGAAGUACAUCAAGGAGGCAGAGACGGUGGAGGGAGGCUUUCUGGAUCUCGGCUUCCGGAAAUAUUUGGUGCGAUUCAAGGUCGUAGGAAAAGAAGAUGGCGCAUCCGUUAUAAGAUCCACGGUUGAGUAUGAAGUUGAUGCAGAGCAUGCCAAGAAUGUCUCCUUUGUCAGCACAGAAGCAAUGGCUUCUAUUGCUGAGGCCAUCACCAAGUACAUCAAGGAGCAGAAGAAGAGCCACGAGCAAGCCGCCGAGUAA